RNAcentral lists this ribosomal RNA (816 nucleotides) under uncultured bacterium. Its description in RNAcentral is "bacterial SSU rRNA". It matches the Rfam family "Bacterial small subunit ribosomal RNA", at positions 58 to 916 of the family's 1533-position model. The record is from RNAcentral.
CAAGUCGAACGGGAAUCUUCGGAUUCUAGUGGCGGACGGGUGAGUAACGCGUAAGAAUCUAACUUCAGGACGGGGACAACAGUUGGAAACGACUGCUAAUACCCGAUAUGCCGCGAGGUGAAACCUAAUUGGCCUGAAGAAGAGCUUGCGUCUGAUUAGCUAGUUGGUGGGGUAAGAGCCUACCAAGGCGACGAUCAGUAGCUGGUCUGAGAGGAUGAGCAGCCACACUGGGACUGAGACACGGCCCAGACUCCUACGGGAGGCAGCAGUGGGGAAUUUUCCGCAAUGGGCGAAAGCCUGACGGAGCAACGCCGCGUGAGGGAGGAAGGUCUUUGGAUUGUAAACCUCUUUUCUCAAGGAAGAAGUUCUGACGGUACUUGAGGAAUCAGCCUCGGCUAACUCCGUGCCAGCAGCCGCGGUAAUACGGGGGAGGCAAGCGUUAUCCGGAAUUAUUGGGCGUAAAGCGUCCGCAGGUGGUCAGCCAAGUCUGCUGUCAAAUCAGGUUGCUUAACGACCUAAAGGCGGUGGAAACUGGCAGACUAGAGAGCAGUAGGGGUAGCAGGAAUUCCCAGUGUAGCGGUGAAAUGCGUAGAGAUUGGGAAGAACAUCGGUGGCGAAAGCGUGCUACUGGGCUGUAUCUGACACUCAGGGACGAAAGCUAGGGGAGCGAAAGGGAUUAGAUACCCCUGUAGUCCUAGCCGUAAACGAUGGAUACUAGGCGUGGCUUGUAUCGACCCGAGCCGUGCCGAAGCUAACGCGUUAAGUAUCCCGCCUGGGGAGUACGCACGCAAGUGUGGAACUCAAAGGAAUUGACGG